GAUGAACGCUGGCGGCGUGCCUAAUACACGCAAGUCGAGCGAACGGACGAGAAGCUUGCUUCUCUGAUGUUAGCGGCGGACGGGUGAGUAACACGUGGAUAACCUACCUAUAAGACUGGGAUAACUUCGGGAAACCGUAGCUAAUACCGGAUAAUAUUUUGAACCGCAUGGUUCAAAAGUGAAAGACGGUCUUGCUGUCCACUAUAGAUGGAUCCGCGCUGCAUUAGCUAGUUGGUAAGGUAACGGCCUACCAAGGCAACGAUGCAUAGCCGACCUGAGAGGGUGAUCGGCCACGCUGGAACUUGGUCGCGGUCCAGGCUCCUACGGGAGGCAGCAGUAGGGACUCUUCCGCUAUGGGCGCAAGCCUGACGGAGCAACGCCGCUGGAGUGCUGCAGGUCUUCGGGUCGUAAGACUCUUUUAUUAGGGAAGAACAUAUGUGUAAGUAACUGUGCACAUCUUGACGGUACCUAAUCAGAAAGCCACGGCUAACUACGUG
Molecule: ribosomal RNA, 497 nt
Filed under: uncultured bacterium
Lineage: Bacteria
Description: partial 16S ribosomal RNA
Rfam family: Bacterial small subunit ribosomal RNA
Source: RNAcentral